GGCGCUAUAGUGUAGUGGUCAUCACUCGGGAUUUUGAUGUGUCCUCAAAGGCUGACUUUCCCGAAACCCAGGUUCGAACCCUGGUAGAGCCU
Lyophyllum atratum is the source of this 92-nucleotide non-coding RNA. NCBI's taxonomy places the organism in Eukaryota, Fungi, Basidiomycota, Agaricomycetes, Agaricales, Lyophyllaceae. The record is from the annotation of a GenBank genome assembly.